GAUGUACGCUAGCUACAGGCUUAACACACGCAAGUCGAGGGGAAACGAUAGAGAAAGCUUGCUUUUUCUAGGCGUCGACCGGCGCACGGGUGAGUAACGCGUAUCCAACCUGCCCACCACUUGGGGAUAACCUUGCGAAAGUACGACUAAUACCCAAUGAUAUCUCAAGAAGACAUCUGAGUGAGAUUAAAGAUUUAUUGGUGAUGGAUGGGGAUGCGUCUGAUUAGCUUGUUGGCGGGGUAACGGCCCACCAAGGCGACGAUCAGUAGGGGUUCUGAGAGGAAGGUCCCCCACAUUGGAACUGAGACACGGUCCAAACUCCUACGGGAGGCAGCAGUGAGGAAUAUUGGUCAAUGGGCGAGAGCCUGAACCAGCCAAGUAGCGUGCAGGAUGACGGCCCUAUGGGUUGUAGACUGCUUUUAUAAGGGAAUAAAGUGAGUCUCGUGAGGCUUUUUGCAUGUACCUUAUGAAUAAGGACCGGCUAAUUCCGUGCCAGCAGCCGCAGUAA
Molecule: ribosomal RNA, 508 nt
Filed under: uncultured bacterium
Lineage: Bacteria
Description: partial 16S ribosomal RNA
Rfam family: Bacterial small subunit ribosomal RNA
Source: RNAcentral